RNAcentral lists this ribosomal RNA (768 nucleotides) under uncultured fungus. RNAcentral describes it as "eukaryotic LSU rRNA". The stretch from base 96 to 768 matches the Rfam family "Eukaryotic large subunit ribosomal RNA", at positions 1 to 664 of the family's 3401-position model. Lineage: Eukaryota; Fungi. The record is from RNAcentral.
GGGGGGGGAGGUUGGAUUUGAGGAGAGCAGCGCACUCUCCCCUCCGUGUUUCGACACGGGAUCGUUAGAGCCAAUACACCAACAGGCUGAAUUUGCGGCCGCGAUUCGCCCUUACCCGCUGCACUUAAGCAUAUCAAUAAGCGGAGGACAAGAACUAACAAGGAUUCCCCUAGUAACGGCGAGUGAAGAGGGAAGAGCUCAAAUUUUAAAUCUGGCGUCUUUGGCGUCCGAAUUGUAAUCUAGAGAAGUGUUUUCCGUGACGGACCGUGCACAAGUCUCCUGGAAUGGAGCGUCAUAGAGGGUGAGAAUCCCGUAUAUGGCACGGACUGCCGUUGCUCUGUGAUACACUCUCGACGAGUCGANGUGUUUGGGAAUGCAGCUCUAAAUGGGUGGUAAAUGCCAUCUAAAAGCUAAUAUUGGCGAGAGACCGAUAGCGAAACAGUACCCGUGAGGGAAAGAUGAAAAGCACUUUGGAAAGAGAGUGAAACAGUACGUGAAAUGUUGAAAGGAACGNNCUUGAAGUCAGUCGCGCGUUUCGGGAUUCAGCCUUGCUUCUGCUCGGUUCACUUCCCGUUGGGUGGGUCAACAUCAGUUUUGGUCAGAGGAGAAAGGCUUGGGGAAGGUGGCAGCAUUCGUGCUGUGUUAUAGCCCCUCGUUGUAUACUUUGACUGGGACUGAGGACCGCAGCACGCCUUUGGCCGGGGUUCGCCCACGUACGUGCUUAGGAUGUUGGCAUAAUGGCUUUAAGCGACCCGUCUUGAAACACGG